UACGUAGGUGGCAAGCGUUGUCCGGAAUUAUUGGGCGUAAAGCGCGCGCAGGCGGUCUUUUAAGUCUGAUGUGAAAGCCCACGGCUCAACCGUGGAGGGUCAUUGGAAACUGGGAGACUUGAGUGCAGAAGAGAAGAGUGGAAUUCCACGUGUAGCGGUGAAAUGCGUAGAGAUGUGGAGGAACACCAGUGGCGAAGGCGACUCUUUGGUCUGUAACUGACGCUGAGGCGCGAAAGCGUGGGGAGCAAACAGGAUUAGAUA
Molecule: ribosomal RNA, 261 nt
Filed under: uncultured prokaryote
Description: partial 16S ribosomal RNA
Rfam family: Bacterial small subunit ribosomal RNA
Source: RNAcentral